AACAGUAGCAGUUCGCUACUAGAUGACGAGUGGCGCACGGGUGCGUAACGCGUAUGCAACCUGCCUUUUACAGGGGGAUAGCCCGGAGAAAUUCGGAUUAAUACCCCAUAGUUUCCYUGAAUCGCAUGGUUUUAGGAUUAAAGUUUCGGCGGUAAAAGAUGGGCAUGCGUGCAUUAGCUAGUUGGUAGGUAACGGCUACCAAGGCGACGAUGCUAGGGGUUCUGAGAGGAUGAUCCCCCACACUGGUACUGAGACACGGGCCAGACUCCUACGGGAGGCAGCAGUGAGGAAUAUUGGUCAAUGGGCGCAAGCCUGAACCAGCCAUGUCGCGUGCAGGAAGACGGCCCUAUGGGUUGUAAACUGCUUUUGUAUGGGAAGAAAGUUAGCUACGAGUAGCUAUUUGCCGGUACCAUACGAAUAAGGAUCGGCUAACUCCGUGCCAGCAGCCGCGGUAAUACGGAGGAUCCGAGCGUUAUCCGGAUUUAUUGGGUUUAAAGGGUGCGUAGGCGGACUUGUAAGUCAGUGGUGAAAUACUGCAGCUUAACUGUAGAAUUGCCGUUGAUACUGCAAGUCUUGAGUACAGUUGAGGUAGGCGGAAUGUGGUGUGUAGCGGUGAAAUGCAUAGAUAUACCACAGAACRCCGAUUGCGAAGGCAGCUUACUAAAGUGUCACUGACGCUGAUGCACGAAAGCGUGGGUAUCAAACAGGAUUAGAUACCCUGGUAGUCCACGCUGUAAACGAUGAUUACUGGUUGUUAGCGAUAUACCGUUAGUGACUGAGCGAAAGCAUUAAGUAAUCCACCUGGGGAGUACGUCGGCAACGAUGAAACUCAAAGGAAUUGACGGGGGCCCGCACAAGCGGAGGAACAUGUGGUUUAAUUCGAUGAUACGCGAGGAACCUUACCUGGGUUUAAAUGGGAAGUGACAGACUUGGAAACAGGUUUU
This 944-nucleotide ribosomal RNA is filed under the name uncultured Alkaliflexus sp. RNAcentral's name for it is "bacterial SSU rRNA". It matches the Rfam family "Bacterial small subunit ribosomal RNA", at positions 65 to 1014 of the family's 1533-position model. The record is from RNAcentral. Lineage: Bacteria; Pseudomonadati; Bacteroidota; Bacteroidia; Marinilabiliales; Marinilabiliaceae.